GUAGGUGGCAAGCGUUGUCCGGAAUUAUUGGGCGUAAAGCGCGCGCAGGCGGUCCUUUAAGUCUGAUGUGAAAGCCCACGGCUCAACCGUGGAGGGUCAUUGGAAACUGGGGGACUUGAGUACAGAAGAGGAAAGCGGAAUUCCACGUGUAGCGGUGAAAUGCGUAGAGAUGUGGAGGAACACCAGUGGCGAAGGCGGCUUUCUGGUCUGUAACUGACGCUGAGGCGCGAAAGCGUGGGGAGCAAACAGGGAUUAGAUACCCUGGUAGUCCACGCCGUAAACGAUGAGUGCUAAGUGUUAGGGGGUUUCCCGCCCCUUAGUGCUGCAGCUAACGCAUUAAGCACUCCGCCUUGGGAGUACGGCCGCAAGGCUG
This 373-nucleotide ribosomal RNA is filed under the name uncultured organism. RNAcentral describes it as "partial 16S ribosomal RNA". It matches the Rfam family "Bacterial small subunit ribosomal RNA", at positions 527 to 896 of the family's 1533-position model. The record is from RNAcentral.